AGAAGUCGUAACAAGGUUUCCGUAGGUGAACCUGCGGAAGGAUCAUUGUCGUGACCCUGACCAAAACAGACCGAGCACGCGUUAUCUAUUGCUACUGAGUGGCGGCACCGUCGUCGCUCAGCCAAAUCCUCGAUAACCUCCUCUCCUCGGAGUGGGGGCUUGGGGUAAAAGAACCCACGGCGCCGAAGGCGUCAAGGAACACUGUGCCUAGCUUGGGGACACGACUGGCUUGCUGGCCGCUCCCCUUGCUGCAAAGCUAUUUAAUCCACAACGACUCUCGGCAACGGAUAUCUCGGCUCUCGCAUC
This 306-nucleotide unclassified non-coding RNA is filed under the name Oryza sativa (Asian cultivated rice). RNAcentral's name for it is "ITS1-IR36-L". The stretch from base 1 to 48 matches the Rfam family "Eukaryotic small subunit ribosomal RNA", at positions 1784 to 1831 of the family's 1831-position model. Lineage: Eukaryota; Viridiplantae; Streptophyta; Magnoliopsida; Poales; Poaceae. The record is from RNAcentral.